CUAGCGACUUCAGAGUUUGAUCCUGGCUCAGGAUGAACGCUGGCGGCGUGCCUAACACAUGCAAGUCGAACGGAGUAUAGAAGAAGCUUGCUUUUGAUAUACUUAGUGGCGGACGGGUGAGUAACGUGUGAGCAAUCUGCCUCUAUGAGGGGGAUAACACAGGGAAACCUGUGCUAAUACCGCAUAACAUAUUUUAGUCGCAUGACUUUAAUAUCAAAGGAGUAAUCCGCAUAGAGAUGAGCUCGCAUCUGAUUAGAUAGUUGGUGAGGUAACGGCUCACCAAGUCUACGAUCAGUAGCCGGACUGAGAGGUUGAACGGCCACAUUGGAACUGAGAAACGGUCCAG
RNAcentral lists this ribosomal RNA (346 nucleotides) under uncultured bacterium. Its description in RNAcentral is "bacterial SSU rRNA". It matches the Rfam family "Bacterial small subunit ribosomal RNA", at positions 1 to 334 of the family's 1533-position model. The record is from RNAcentral.